UACAGAGGGGGCAAGCGUUGUCCGGAAUCAUUGGGUACGUAAGCGCGUGUGAGCGGCCCGGUAAGUCCGCUGUGAAAGUCGGGGGCUCAACCCUCGAAUGCCGGUGGAUACUGUCGGGCUAGAGUGCGGAAGAGGCGAGUGGAAUUCCUGGUGUAGCGGUGAAAUGCGCAGAUAUCAGGAGGAACACCGAUGGCGAAGGCAGCUCGCUGGGACGUUACUGACGCUGAGACGCGAAAGCGUGGGGAGCAAACAGG
This 254-nucleotide ribosomal RNA is filed under the name uncultured bacterium. RNAcentral's name for it is "partial 16S ribosomal RNA". It matches the Rfam family "Bacterial small subunit ribosomal RNA", at positions 524 to 776 of the family's 1533-position model. The record is from RNAcentral.